GUGAAUCAUCGAAUCUUUGAACGCAAAUUGCACUCUCUGGUAUUCCGGAGAGUAUGCCUGUUUGAGGGUCAGUUUAAAUAAAAAUCGGUAUUUUGUUUCCGCUGUUCUUGGUUACGUAUCUGGUUUAGGUCGUCUUACCUUCGGUUAAGUGACCUAAAAUGUUGCAGGAUUUUCGAACGUAUUUAAAUAAUUUACGUACGUUUGUAAUAGCU
RNAcentral lists this unclassified non-coding RNA (212 nucleotides) under Glomus sp. Its description in RNAcentral is "partial contains 5.8S ribosomal RNA and internal transcribed spacer 2". The stretch from base 1 to 71 matches the Rfam family "5.8S ribosomal RNA", at positions 84 to 154 of the family's 154-position model. The record is from RNAcentral. Lineage: Eukaryota; Fungi; Glomeromycota; Glomeromycetes; Glomerales; Glomeraceae.